ACCCUCAAUAAUUAGGCCCAGGAGGAAACAAGUAAUUUACAACUUCUGAGAAAGACAGCCAUUCUUUAACAUUUAUGGUUUUGAUGCUGCAGUACAGGCUCGAUGUUCAGCUCAGUGUAUCAAUGUUCCCACAUACAGGGUGUUUGCAGAGCAAGGGCCUAAGAGUGAAUUCACACACACCUGGGGAAUUCUGAAAGGCCAGCAGGGAGACCUUUGGUGUGAGAACCGUCUGGCCAACUCCAACGUGAUGUUUAUAACUCGGCUUUGAGGUAUAAGUGGACUUUGGUAAUAUGGAUGAAACUGUACAGUGCUGAAGUCUGAAGCUUCAGUGCCCAUCAACCAAGUAGUGCACAUUGUAGGAAACCUGUCUUACUCCGGCAGUGAGUAACAUUCACCCAAGACCAGGAACUAACAAGAAAAAAGUAUUUCAUUAAAAGAGGUCUUGCUGUCACCCCGGCUGGAGUGCAAUGGCACGAUCUCAACUCACUGCAACCUCUGCCUCCUGGGCUCAAGCUAUCCUCCAACCUCAGCUCCCAGGUGUUCGGCAAGCAUUUGACAGAAUAAGUAAAUGACUCUGAAAUCAUGAUUUUAACAACCACUGCAUUACAUGUCCUUGGAGGAACAACCUCAGUGUAACUGUUGAAUGCUUAGUGGAGAUAAACAGGAGUCUCUGGAAUACAUGAAUUCACAUACAGGAAGGCACUGCAGUAUAACAGACUGAACAAGUGAUUUGAAGUCAUAAGAACGGGGUUUGUGCCAUGGCUUUGGUCAGUAAAGAUGGCGUCAUCUCGGGUAAGGUGCCCCAUUUCUCUGGUCUUUAGCAUUUGUAAGGUGCAGACAGCAUCUAUUUCGUGAAGCUGUGGUGGAGAUAAAAUCAGGCCACAUGUAGGGGAAA
Molecule: long non-coding RNA, 895 nt
Organism: Callithrix jacchus (white-tufted-ear marmoset)
Lineage: Eukaryota; Metazoa; Chordata; Mammalia; Primates; Cebidae
Source: RefSeq, a predicted model, not a curated record